CAACCCUCGAACCCCUCCGGGGGAUCGGCGUUGGGGAUCGGCCCUCUACCGGCCGGCCCCGAAAUGCAGUGGCGGUCUCGCCGCAGCCUCCCCUGCGCAGUAGUUUGCACGCUCGCAUCGGGAGCGCGGCGCGUCCAAUGCCGUAAAACACCCAACUUUCUGAAAUG
Molecule: unclassified non-coding RNA, 167 nt
Filed under: uncultured Trichoderma
Lineage: Eukaryota; Fungi; Ascomycota; Sordariomycetes; Hypocreales; Hypocreaceae
Description: sequence contains ITS2
Source: RNAcentral